Molecule: ribosomal RNA, 477 nt
Filed under: uncultured bacterium
Lineage: Bacteria
Description: partial 16S ribosomal RNA
Rfam family: Bacterial small subunit ribosomal RNA
Source: RNAcentral
GAUGAACGCUAGCGGCGGGCCUAAUACAUGCAAGUCGAACGGGAAAGGUGGCAACACCUUGAGAGUGGCGUACGGGUGCGUAACGCGUAUACAACCUGCCUGUUACACGGGGAUAGCCUUGCGAAAGCGAGAUUAAUACCCGAUGGUACUAUUGAGCGGCAUCGCUUGGUAGUUAAAGCUGAGGCGGUAACAGAGGGGUAUGCGUCCCAUUAGCUAGUUGGUAGUGUAACGGACUACCAAGGCGACGAUGGGUGGGGGUUCUGAGAGGAUGAUCCCCCACACUGGUACUGAGAUACGGACCAGACUCCUACGGGAGGCAGCAGUAGGGAAUAUUGGGCAAUGGACGGAAGUCUGACCCAGCCACGCCGCGUGCAGGAAGAAGGUCCUCUGGAUUGUAAACUGCUUUUCUUGGGGAAGAAAACCCUUCUGCGGAAGGAAUUGACGGUACUCAAGGAAUAAGCAUCGGCUAACUCCGUG